AGUGAACGCUGGCGGUAGGCCUAACACAUGCAAGUCGAACGGCAGCACAGGAGAGCUUGCUCUCGGGGUGGCGAGUGGCGGACGGAUGAGGAAUACAUCGGAAUCUACUCUGUCGUGGGGGAUAACGUAGGGAAACUUACGCUAAUACCGCAUACGACCUACGGGUGAAAGCAGGGGACCUUCGGGCCUUGCGCGAUUGAAUGAGCCGAUGUCGGAUUAGCUAGUUGGCGGGGUAAAGGCCCACCAAGGCGACGAUCCGUAGCUGGUCUGAGAGGAUGAUCAGCCACACUGGAACUGAGACACGGUCCAGACUCCGACGGGAGGCAGCAGUGGGGAAUAUUGGACAACGGGCGCAAGCCUGAUCCAGCCAUACCGCGUGGGUGAAGAAGGCCUUCGGGUUGUAAAGCCCUUUUGUUGGGAAAGAAAUCCAGCUGGCUAAUACCCGGUUGGGAUGACGGUACCCAAAGAAUAAGCACCGGCUAACUUCGUGCCAGCCGCCGCCGUAA
This 506-nucleotide ribosomal RNA is filed under the name uncultured bacterium. Its description in RNAcentral is "partial 16S ribosomal RNA". It matches the Rfam family "Bacterial small subunit ribosomal RNA", at positions 29 to 523 of the family's 1533-position model. The record is from RNAcentral.